UUGUUGCAUUGGACCAAGCUGGGCUCAAACUUUCCAUUAUCCUGCCUCAGCCUCCAAGACAGGUAUGCACCACCAAGACCAAUUUCUGGCAGAUAUUUUCAUUAGCUAACUGGUGACAUUUUUAGCAAAUGCCAAAAGUAAUAUGGAAUAUAUAAAACAUCAGUGAGAAAAUAUAGUCUCUUGAGCUAAUUUUUAAUUCUUUCCUAUCUUACAUUGUGUCUAAAAAUAUGUUUAAAAAAUCAAUGUGUACCUUGCAUUCAUUUUGUUUGAGUUUCCCCUCACCCGUUAUUAUCUAGUUCGCUUACAUUUUUGCAUUAUUUUAAAAUCACUUUCUCCAGCCUCUGGGUAUGUUAUGGGGAAAAAUCAGGCCAAGAUCCAUUUUGGAGGGUUGAUGUUAGUUUUAAAGCACAGUUUUGUUCUAUCUGUUCUCCUUCCAUUGCUACAGAACCGACCAAAAGACUGUCAACCAGAUAAAAGCAUUUGAAGCAAAGAAUUUGACAACCAUUAGCUAGAAAACUAUUCCUUGAAUAACUCAAAAUCGAUUGAAGCUUUCCUUAUAUAUAAAAUUGUUCUGUCAUUCCAUUCAUUUUUUGCAUUCUUCCUUUGUAUACAAACAUAGGAAAAUGUAGACCAGUGACAUAGAAACAAAAGGCAUAAUGAUGCCAAAUAGGAAAGAAGGACUUGGAGGAUGCUUUGGACCUCUUAAUUUCAGGCCACUUGAUAGCAGAUACAGUUCAUUACACAAGAAAAUUGCUUGAUCUUGGGGAAAGAGGGUGCUGGAGGUGAGGGAAAAUGAGUUAGUCACCAAUAGAAUUCACCUCGCAAUUCAGUCAUUUAUAUAUAACUAGAGAAUGAUUGCUGCCACAUUCCAGAUAAAGAAUGAGAGAUUCUUUCCACAAUACGAUGGUGAAUUAUAUAUGUCCUGUGAUUAGAGUCUAGGAAGAAAAGGAAAGAAAGGAAGAUUCUUUGCCUCCUCCUUUUACCCCUUACCGUCUGCCCUUUAUUCUUCAUAACAACAAAUCCCAUGUUUAAAUUAUGUUGUACUUAAUAAAAAUAAAAUCAUAUCUAGGGCUGUGCCAGGAUCAUUUCUAAAGCAUAAGGAAUGUUUAAGUAAAAUAAAAUAAAGACAAGUAUUUCAUUGAAUGUUUUGUGAUAUGUUUGUUUUCUAGAAAUGUUCUUACACAUCCUGUUCUAAUGAUCAGUAUAUCUGAAUAUAUUUUUAUAUAGAUAAACUAUACUAUGGCUAUACCAUCUCUGGCAAGUAUAGGAAGAGGGUUCUGAUUGGAAGCUGAUGUAGAAGGAAAUCACAGUUUGUUUCAGAACACUUAGUGACCUGAGCCCAACUCAGCAGAAGGCACAAAGGCUGAAAAAGUGGUAACUUUUUAAAUAACCUACCCAUCAUAGAUCAACUCCAGAGAAUCAACAAAGAAACAGCUAACAGAAUAGGAGAAAAUAUUUCUCAACUUUUGUCUGGUGAAGAAUUAAUAUCCAGAAGUAAAAGGAACUCAAAGAUCAUAACAAAAAACAUGAGUAACACACAAAUGUAGAAAAAUGAUCUGAAGAGACAAUUCUCCAAAGAAGAAAUACAGAUGGCUGAGAGCAUGCAGUUCCUGGAGCUAUUGACAGCGUCUUUUGACCAAAAUGAGAACUAGCCUUUCAAUGAAAUUGGCCCUGCAGAAAACAGAAAGAUGGAAAGAAACUGCAGCUACUGGAUCCAGCCCUGCAUGAAGCCUUAUACCUAUUUUCAUUUAAGUAUAUUCCUGUAAAUACUAUUGCUUGAGUGAGGAGAAGUAAAGAAGAAAGCUAAUUUGGGGAAAAGAAGACAAGUGCCUAAAAGUCGAAAGCAAGUUUUUUCAGAAGGCCUGGGCCACAGAGCAAAGAAGGCUGUGUUGUCUCCUUCCCACCUCCCCACUGGCUUUGCUGUCCUUGGCAUGAAUGAGAAGUAAGACAAGUGCUGUGGGUGGCGAACACUGGGUCUCACACAUGGAUACGCAUGGGUAUGGGCAGAGGUCAUGCAACUUGGAGUCCCAGCUCAGCUCCUUGCUCUCUGCGGCGUCCAGGCAAGUUUACUUUAACUUUCUAGGCUUCCCUCUAUCAGGGCAGGAACACGCACAGUUCUUUCCAUUUCUCACAUCCUAUAACUAUUCUGUGACUCUUUUGCUCCUUGGGCCUGGAAUUAAUCUGGCAAAUCCAAGAAAGCAUCUGGUUCUACAAAGAUAUGUGGACAACAGCCUGAGAGCCAACAGCCACCCAUCAUCACUCUUAAUCCCUUCUGUCAGGUCCAGGUGGCGUGUGCUCCCCCAGGACAGUCUGUCCCUCUUAGCCGGCUCAAGAGCAGCACUGCCUUGGAAGAUGCAGGAGACAGAUGUUUUCACCUUGACCUUAUUGCUCUCUUCCUGCAUAUCUUCAUUAUUCCUACCCCUUAUAACCAGGACUCUGCUCCAUUUUCCCAUCCACAAGAUAUAGAAUCAAAGACAAAAAAGAGGAGGACCCUCAGGCAAAGCCUCUUCACGGUGAUUUACUACAUUACACAAUAGUUUCCCAAGUCCCUGCAACCCAAAGUCAGGAAAACUGGCCGAGUCCUUCAUAAGAACAUAAAAUAUUAAGAAAAAUGCAAUCCCAAAGGUAGGCAGGGAGGAUAAAAAGAACUUUCCAUUUUCAAUUCUAAAUGUCAAAUAGCCAUUCUAGUUUUUAUUGUAGGGAAAAUAAUCAUUAUUUGUUGAAAUUAUGCUGCAAAUAACAGUAUGCUAAGGCUUUUUAGGAGAAAUUAUUUGGGGUAAUGUGUUUAACUCACUGCACUUAGAAUUCACUCUAGGACAACUAUUUUGAGUACAAUGAGGUACCAUUUUAAUAAUUCUAUGUAAUAUUGUAGUGAUGGAUAGCUACUUUAGAUUUGCAUGCCAGCUAUGUAAAUGUCCAUAAGUGAUUUUUCAUUAUCCUAAAUGAUGAGUAGUUUAGUAUAUUAAUCCAAGUGCAAUGUGGGCAUAACAUUUAUAGUUUAUUAAACUAAAAGGGUGCUAAUCAAUUAUUAUAUUUAAAACAAAACCUAUGGGGAAAGAAAUUGAUUUACUAAGUUAAAAAUUUAUUUUUAAGAGUUGGAAAAUAAGCAAAUUGGUAGUAAGGAUACACAGAAAUUGUUGCUGAUGAUUAGUUUGAUCUCAGUAAAUAAAUGUACCCUUAUUGCUGAGGGGUCUGAUGGGAUGUCUUUGUAGGAGUUCCCAGGACAUGGACUGGCAAUUGUUUAGUUUUGCUGGUGUAAAGAGGAUAAUAGUGUUUUGUCUAUUGUGAAACCUUAUAUUAGACAGCUUUCUGUUGCUAUAAAGAGAUGCCUGAGACGAUCAACUUAUAAAAAGAAAAGGUUGGUUUUGAUUCCUAGUUUUUGUGGUUUCGUUCCCACUGCUUUGGUCCUGUGACAAGUCAUUACAUCAUGGCGGAGUGCAUGGAUGAGCAGAGCUACUCGCUUCAUGAGCCAGGAGCAGAGAAGAGGAGGAAACCAGGGUCCCACACCUCCCUUCACACAGGAUCAAGCUAACAAAAUCUUUGUGUAUUAUGAAGAGGUGGGGGCAGGAAACAUCAGCUUCAUGAAGAGAUGCUACCUUCUGCUGUCCCAACUAGUCUUUCUAUGGUAGCUUAACUUUCAGUGAGAAAAAUGAAGACAAUUUGAUACUGUUUCUGAAGCCAGAAUGCCUUCCUACUACCUUUGAAAAACAGCAUUCACUCCUAGGAAGCAGUGAAUGGAGCCUGGGAAUUAGAGCGUCAGUGAGCCUUCUACGGCCUCUCCCACGUCCCUCUGAUCUGCCUCAAAGCAACUUUUGUUCUUCUCCAAGCCCCUUCUUUAGGAGUAAGUUGUUCUUGUUCAACAAGGGGAUUGAGAAUGUUCUCCCCAGUCCCUAAAAUUCAGACUCUUACUGGACCAAAAAUAAUAUCAGUAGUAGUAUAAGCAUCUCCAGUGAGAUACAUAAUUCUACAAUUCUACCCACCUUCCCACGUGCAGUCAGUCUGAAAGUCAGUUGUAAGUGACCAGUUUGUGCUCCGAGAAUGGUAUCUAGGGACCUAGUUUCCCUUCCCCUCCUGCUCAGAGGACCUCUAAUGGGAGCCAGGUGGAAAGUCCCUGGCCGGUGAUGCUGAGCCAUAUAUUGGGUCUGACACAGGUAACCGAAGACACCAGUUAGUUGUCAUGAUGAUUAUUCUGGGAUGCUCUCAGCUUCAGGUAGGUCCUUGUCAAGUCACAGAAUUGCUAGGUGCCCUUUGGAGGGAUCUUCCCACCCUUCUCCUUGUCUAGAUGUACUCGUGUUGUUAUAUCAGAUUUCUCCAUGAAAUGCCAUUUACAGUUAGCCGUUCAUUUGUGUGCAUACUGGUAUUUUCUGUCUUGUAGUAUUUAGUGACCUUUGCCCGGAGUUCAGCAUUCUUGGCGGGCGUUUUUCCCCUUGGUCACAGAGGAACCCAGUAUUUCUCCAGAUCCUCGUGAGAGAUGGGGAUGAAACAUCAGCAGCUGGGGACACAAAAAUAACUAGGAACAAAAUAGACACCCAAUUCAGAAGAAUACUGAAAAAGACUUUCUGCAGAAGCAGUUUGCUUUUGAUGCUGAACACUGUAUAGGAUUCAAUGAUAAAUUGGCUGUUACACAUGGCUAUUUUAAACAGGAAAAAGGGAAAGAUGAGCAUGUAAUUUCAUGUUUUAAACACAAACAACAGAGUUCUGAGUCUAGAUUUUACUCUUAGAUUCAUGUGGAUGAUGACUAUUACACUCUGAAAUACCUGGGUAUUCAGAAUUGAGACUAGAAAAGCCUUCUAAUGCAGUUCCCUUCCUAAAUGAGACACAAAUAAAACUUUCAGGCUUCACAUACCAAAAUGAGUCUAGUGGGUGGAUGACAACAGUGCCUAAAUUUCUGUUCAUAAUUUCACGGUGUACUUUUUUCAUAUUAAAAGUGAAGCUUCACUGAUUGGAAAGCCAAGCUCACUGAGAUACACAAUGUCUUUGAGUGAACAUUCCAAAAAAAGUGAAUGUCUCCUUCUGGCAUGGAUUGUUCUUUCUUCAGCAUUCCUGGCUGACACAGCCACAGUUCUUCAGUUCUGUGUUCUUUACCCACGAGGCGUUGAGCGGUCCCACCCAAAAGCCUUCAUGCUACAUUACCAUAAAAGUCUGCCUUGUGUGUACCACCUAAAAAACAAAAUAAAUGGGCCACAUUAUUCCAAAUAGCAGUCCUCCUCUCCUAGAUGUAAGAAAACAGAACAUGUAGCACUUCUCUGGAGUCUGGGUAGUACAGAUAGGACGUUGAUUUCCACAGUAAAGAAAGGCUCCUUGCAGUCUGCAAAGACUCCCAUAAUCUUUUUUUUUUUUUUUUUUGCUAUUUUAUUUUUUUCCUGAGGUAUUUUAAUACAUAAAAAUCUCAACCCUAAAGCUGUCUUUGAGAUCAGGGAGAAAUACUUAAACAUUCCUGCAUCCAGUUCAUGAUUCAGAGAUUUAUUUAUAAGACUGUUGAUUUUGGGACACCCAACUCUUGCAUUUAAGCUGCUGAAGUGAGUCAUGUUUGUGGGAGGUAAUUACUACCAGAAAGUACAACGAACUUGUAAGCUUCUCUUUAAAAUGUCCGCUCACAAUCUACAAUUACUGCAAAUACCAGGCUACCAGGACUUUGGCUGUGUUUUACGGCUGUGUACAUUUAUUACAAGUGCAUUAGGCAACACCCAAACAUACUUUUGUCGCAGAGGGUUUCUGGUAAGAGAAAUGAUUCCUUUUAUCAGCAUUGGUGUAGACUGCUGGUAGGACUGGAAAGAUAUAACAUCAAGAUAUCCCUUCCAUUUGUGUUACCGUUAAAGAUCAGCUCUGACUCACAGGAACUGCGGCAGGCCCUCACCUCCUUCACUUCUCAGUGCCUCGCUUGGACUGAUGCUGUGUCCUCUGCGAGACUCCCUGGCUCCCCACUGGUGAAGCGCACACCCUCUGGCCAGUGGCAGAGUUGGUAACAUCUUGUGAAUCACAAUACCAGAGUCUCAGGACAUUCUACAGUUCAUGAGUUGGUGUUGGAAAGGAGAAAGAGGAGGGACCUGGGUGUUUAGAACUGCCACAUUGGGGUCGGGGGAAGCACCAGGAAGACAGAGCUGCAGUAUCCCAGGACCGACCCGGCUAUGGAUGGCUUUACCCCGCCUCUGCUUAACACAGCCCUGCUGAGACCACGGCCUCCCCACCUGCCCUGACACUCUCACCUGCUGAGUUAAGCACACUGAGGCCUGACCCACUGUACAUGUGUUGUUUCAGGCUUCUGCGAUCCAGUUGUCUUCUUGUACCUGUUCUCAUUCAUUCACUCAUUGCUUGUUUACUCAUCAUUAAUUUAAUAACAACUCCCUGUGUGUCCUCGAUGUGUCAUUCAUUGUGCUGGUGCUGAAACAUGUCUGUGGAUGCAACCCAGUCCCUCUCUUUCAGGAUCAUUCUGCCUGGUCAGCAGACAACCGUAAGAAGUGAUAACUUCAAAAGUGCAUGAUAAGUGCUACAUAGGGGUGAUCAGGUGCUAUAGGAGCAAGUCAUAAAGGCACUGUCUGACCUGAGAGAACAGAAGAAACUGCUCGGGAGUGCCUUCAUUUAAGUGAAGACCUGAAGGAAAGGCUAGAGAUGGUCGGGAGACUUACUGGGGAUGAAAAUAAGGAGACGCAGCAAUGUAUUUUAUGCAGGAGGAAAAGAACAAGAUGUGAAGAUUCAGUUCAAGGAAGCAUGCUAAAUUCACAGGGGAUGGAAACAGCUGUAACACAGUGGUGCUAGAAGAGCCGGACAAGCAGAAACCAGAAUGUGAAAGCCCUUGUCUGCGUGCUAAGGAGGCUGAAUGUAAUUGGACCUGUUUCCUGUGGGAGCAGGCACCUACCAAAUGCUUUAUAUACUGUGUCUAACCAUUCAGGCUUAAUCCUGGGCAAGUUAGUAUGUUCUCUACCAUUUGGCUAGCUUCUCUGAUGUACCACAAUGAGCCGAUACCGCAGCUACGCAAGUGCAUUAUUUGGGUCCUCUGACUUGUGGCGUAGCCCAUCAUUAGAGACACACACUGCUUCUCCAUCUUUAUGAUCCAUCUAGGCCCACAGAACACCCAUAUCUAUCCUAUCUUGCAUAUUUUCAUGGACAUAUCUCUUUUGGCCGAUAUUAACUCCAAAAUUAAGGUCUGGAACAUUAAACUCUAUGAGCUUACCAUUCACUCAACAAAUAUCUACAGAAUUUCUAUAUGCUAGAAAAUAUUCCAGGAAAUGUACCAGUGACCGAAGCUGAGUCUCCACCCUUAUGGAGGUGACAUUGUAGUGGAAAAAUACAAAAAAAUAUAAUAUUUAUGGAAAAUUGUUUUAAGAUAAUGAUUGAUAUAUAAAGAAACCUCAAUAUUUAAGGGCUUCCCAGAGAGUAUUAUUCUGUGUACUGUAUAUAUUUCACAUAAACAUGAAUGCACACAUAUAUAUUAACAUAUACACAAAUGUAAUAGGCACGUGCUAUUGUACUAAUUAUAUAUCAACACGUUCUCUAAUGACUUUAAGAUUCCAUAGUAGAGAAUUCAUAUACUUAGUUGGAACUCAUACUUAAGUAAGUAAUGUUAUUGUCACUUAUAAAUUUUAAGUCUCAGGAGUUGUUUUGAGUUUUAGUUUACCAAAUUCAAUGUAUAAUUUUAUUUUUAGCCUUAUAGUGUAAUAUGCUUUCAAAAUAAUAUAACUCAGUACAUACCUGAAUUAGCAUUUUUCCUUAAGAAAAUAGUAAACACUUUUCUAUUUUUAUUUUAUCUUAAUUUUCCACUUGGAAUUGUAAAAAACAUUGGUACAUUCUUGUGGACAACAGUAAAGUGUUUGACAGGGAGUGCAGAACCCUGUGACACCCAAGAGUGUCAGAAAAGCCUGGGGAGCAAUAUCUGAAGAAAUCGAAGCUGAGUUUUCCAGAUUUGUAAGAUGACGUGAGUCCUCAGAUUAAAAGUACACCAGAAACAAGCAGAAUGAAUAGGUACAACAUCUUGAAAUUGAAGAUCAGCAAGAAUUAAGACAAAAAUCUUAAAAACUGUUGGAGACCGAAGAUUCUCCACAAAGGGGCACACAGUGGGUUGAUAUCAGACUUGAAAUUAUUGCUGUAGAUGGAAGACAGAGAUACAUU
This is a long non-coding RNA of Chinchilla lanigera (long-tailed chinchilla), 8106 nucleotides long. RefSeq lists it as uncharacterized. The record is from RefSeq and is a predicted model, not a curated record. The transcript has 5 exons. NCBI's taxonomy places the organism in Eukaryota, Metazoa, Chordata, Mammalia, Rodentia, Chinchillidae.